AGAGAGAGAGAGAGAGAGAGAACUGAAAAAUCCCAAAAAUAAUGUAAUUUAAUCUUAGUAUUCACAGAUGACAUCAUAAGAAAGGAAAAAUUCUGGUUCACAUCCUUGAAUAGAAUCAUCACAUUAGAAUAUUAAUAAAAAAAGCAUAGAAUCACACAUGUAAUUAGCAUUUUACUGGAGCAAUCCCUGCCAUGAGACUUAUCAAAUGAUAGGAACGAAAGAACUUAUGUCCUUCUGUUUAGUGGUAUAAGAAAUUACGAGCUGCAAUCAUAUUGGCUUGCGCCAGACAAGCGGAUUCAAUUAUAAUACAUGAAUCUAUUUGGCUAAGUAAGCGUAUUGCAAUAGAAAAUGGAACACACCUUUGCACAUUCACCAAGCCAG
Molecule: unclassified non-coding RNA, 381 nt
Filed under: Hevea brasiliensis (rubber tree)
Lineage: Eukaryota; Viridiplantae; Streptophyta; Magnoliopsida; Malpighiales; Euphorbiaceae
Source: RNAcentral